Non-coding RNA from Misgurnus anguillicaudatus (oriental weatherfish), 263 nucleotides. Lineage: Eukaryota; Metazoa; Chordata; Actinopteri; Cypriniformes; Cobitidae. The record is from RefSeq and is a predicted model, not a curated record.
CUUGGACUGGAAAAUGCGACUAUAAUAUCUAAAGUCAUAAGGAUUGAAGUUCCUGGGCAUGACAUUGUUAAUUUGACCAAUCGACUUAUAAUACAGUUCCCAGUCAAUAAAACAACUAAAAACAACACAUAUUCCUGUCAGUUCUAUGAUGAAAACAGUACAGACAACACCUGGAAAAAUGACGGGUGUAUCACCGAACAGAUCAGUGAUAAUCUUGUGAAUUGUUCCUGUGAUCAUAUGACUCCAUUUGCUGUGCUUCUGGU